UUUUAGCUUGGCUCAAUUACCCACAGCCUAAGAAGAAGGAAGGAAAAGAAAAACUCUUCUUCUUCCUUUCCUUCCCCUUUCACGCCUCUCUCUCUCCCUCACCCACAAAUUUCAGCCUCCACAACUUUUGCAGAGAGCUCCGGCCACCAGCCCAUCCGCGCCGCUCGUCGACAUCUACUCCAUCGCCACCCAUCAACCUCUGCUACGCUGUCACAGUUCGUCAGCCUCCCUCGCUAACACACCGCCGCGCACCACCAGUCUGAGCCACACGAAUCUGCGCCGUCAGCUUCUACAGGUCGCGCCCGUCGUGCGCCGUCGCUUUUCUCCAUCACCGCUGUUCUUGCCUCCGUCCUCAGUCGCCGCCUUUUUGAAGUUGGGUGUUGGGUUCGGAGGAAAUUGGAAGUUGGAAGCGAACUGUCCAACAUUCUUGAAGUAUUUAUUGGUUGAUUAAGAGUUUGGAGGUUGUCAAAGUUGCUGUCUAGUAGGUGUUGAAGUUGGAUUUUGGUGAAAUUUGGAACAUGUUGGUUUGGAGGAUUUGAGGACUUGAUUCAAGAUCUUAUUGAACAAAUAAGAGAUAAACUUUCUUGAACAUAUUUGGGUUUAUUAUCAAGGUAAGAGCAAGGAGAGACCGACGAAUGACAAGAAGAAUCCGUAACCGUGCCAUUGGGACUGGACAAAAGCUUUCACACAUGUCUUUCAUAUUUUUCAUGUUACAGUCGUUAAUAGUCAAAUAUUUGGAGUUUUAAAUUAUGUUUCUUAUUUGAAUUUUACGUUUUAGGGGGAACCCCAAUCAAAGAUUUAUAGUUAUUUGAAUUUUUGUAAAAGUAAUUUAUUUUAUGAAAUUCUUUUGGUUUUAGUCAUAUUUUGUAAAGAGUUGUUUGAGAUUUAUAUAUGCAUGUAGUAACGGUCCAAUUCAGUCUUAGAAAGUCGGGUCGUUACAGUUGGUAUCAGAGUCUAAGUUUUUAGGUUCUGUAGACUGACUUACAAUGUAAGUCCAAAAUGUCCCUAUGGCUCGUCAAUGGAUUCUUUGUCAUCACCAGGUAUGUAUCGUAAAUAAAAUUUUUAUGAAAGUUGUGCCAAAAAAAAAAUAAAAAAAUUGUUUGGUUUAUACACUAAUUAUGAUCUAUUGAUCGUUUAACGAUUUGAAAGAAGCUAGUAUGAGAUUGUUGUUCAACUAUGGCACUAUGGAAAAAAAAAAAAAUAUUAUGAGGUCAUUUGUCACUUAUCUCAUGGAAGGACUUUUAGAAAGGGACAUAUAUUUUAGCUCAAAUAUCUUAAGGUAUGAUAAAACUAUGCGACAUUAUGGUAAUGAAGACAAAAAAGGAUGUACUUGUUUAAGCAAGAAAACAAAGUUGCAUGUCUAUAUGAGCAUUGAUUAAAGAACUUGUGGCAUGUUUUAGUAGAAAGUGAAAGUGGUGUUGCGAAAAGAAACUUUGUUGCAAUGAAGUAUGUGCGUACAUUGAAAUCAAGGUAAUUGUCCUAAUCAUUGAAAAAAAAAGAUAUAUUAAGGGACCCAAUUUUAGGUUGCUACCUAUUGAAGUCAUUGGCUUUUGAGUAAAGUUUUUGAUAUGUUAUAAUCACUCUUGUGAAGUUAAGGUGGAUGGGGUAAACAAGGUACCUAAGACUUGAAGUGGAAAAAAAAAAUAUUGUGGCUUUUAAUUGAGAAGUCACGACAUAUAAUUGUGGGUCUUACUUAUGUCAUUGUUAGGGUGAAAAGACUUGAAAUUGAUCAAUUGGACUGAGAGGGAGACUUUUUGGAGUUUUAAGUAACAAGAUGUUGUGAUGGUGAAUUCUACACAAGAUGGAAACUUUGAGUUGGAGAGGUACGAUAUAUAGAAGAGUUUAGAAGAGUUACACUUAGUAUGAAUUUUAUGUCACACUUGGAAAGAGGAAAAGUACCUUGGAUAAAUUAGUCUUAACAAGGAUAAGUGUGAGGAAAAUCAAAGUACAUAGGGAAGAUUUUAUUAUUUUGGGAAGACAGAGGAAAUUAAUGUUUUGAGACUACAUGUACAUAAGUUUGGUUUGACCUUCUAAGAUAGAAAUUUGGUGUAUGUGAGCCUUUAGAAUUGGUAUAAGCAAUCUAGUUACUACUGGGACUUUGGACCUUAUUAUAUGUUGGUGGAAGAAAUUAUGUAAACCGUUGGUUAUGAAGCUCAGUGUCAACACGAAAGGCUUUUCUAAAAACAAAAGGGUAAGGAGGGAUAACCUAAAAGGCAGUUGUUAGUAGCAAUGGUUGCUAGGAACUAUUGAAAUGGAAGAUUGAGGCUUUAAUAGCGGAAAGGUAAAUUAUUGAAGGCGUUAUCAAGGAUUAAGUGAUUGUGACUUUAGGCGCGAGCUCUGACUAGAAACUAGUGUGCAAUCAUUUUAAGUGAAAAAUGGGAGUUAUCUAGGGAGAAGUAUACAAGGAGGGCCGCUACCAUUUAAUAAAGUAUCUGGGUCUCUCUAGAUGAUAGCUCAAGAGAUGAACUCGAGAAUGAGGCUCGAGUUGAUAGCAAGAAGUGGUUAUAAUUGGGAUGAAGUAGCUCAGGUCACAGAAACAUGAAUUGUUUAGCAAAGUUCUUUUAUGCGCCGAUGUCUCACCUCGGAGCACACUAGUUUUGUUUGUUAAGAAAGAGAGAUGCUAGGGUCGUUAGGUGUCAAAUUUAGAUUCUGAAUUAUGGGUUGGGGCACUACAGAUAAUAUGUUUUCUUCUACGUGGACAAAGAGUUUACCAACUUUAGAAAAAUAAAUAUUCUUGAGGUGGAUUUAUGAAUUAGGAAGGUUCUUUUCUUAAAAGCUACAUUCAUGGAUCAGAUACAGUUAUUAUGAGGUCUUGAGGAUGUGUUUUAGAUGGACUGACACAUUAUAUUGUCCAGGGGCUUCAGGAACCUCAUUAUGAAAAAGAUUUCCAGACUCAUUCGUAGUAGGGUCUAAAUAGUGAUAUGCAGUUGUUUUAGGACUAAAGAGCAACGUGAAGAUUGGCGAGUAAGUUUUAUAACGUUGGUAGUAGAAGGCCUUAUGCUAAGACUCUAAUGAGCAUGAGACUUAAUUGGAUGAAGUUGUUUCUCAGACACGUAGCUACUAAGAAAGACAUCACAAUUGGGGUUCCCCAUAGUAAAAGUAAUUUCCAAUUGAUCAGAUUUUCUUUGUAAGUAUCUUGAGAUUACGUCGUAUACAGUGUGGCCAAUUGCUCUGCGACACGUAUUAUGAUUUCUCCAUGCUAGCACGAAUGGUUCUGAUGCAUGUUUCUAGUAAAUAAGACUUCCUAUGCUCAUGAUAGUUUUCAGAACGAAUUUGCUAUAGUACUAUUGGUUCUUCAGCAUCUUAAGUUUUGAGGUUGUAUAUGGAGGACCGUGUCACACUUAUGGGGAACCAUUAGGUACCCGGUCGGGUAUUAAUGGAAUUUUUCGCCCACAGAUGGUUAAACCGAGUGCUUGAAUUAAACUUUAGAGGAUAUGUUACGCGUUUGCAUGCUAGGUUUUGUAAGGAGUUGGGACUCCCACUUGAAUCUUACUAAUAACAGUUAUCAGUCUACCAUAUGCAUGUCGCCAUUUUAAUUACUGUAUAUGGAAAAAGGUUGCAGGUCUCCCGUUCACUGGGAUGAGGUCAGUGAAUGGAAGUUGCUGAGUUAGUGCAAUUCAUAUUGUUUUCAUAUCUCAUGUUGAGGGAGCAUGUGACAAAUCCGUUUCAUGUAGUGGGCUUUGAGCCUUUACACUUGAAUAAGAACAUAAAUUAUGAGGAGUAACCUAAGCGAACUCUUGCUAGAGAAGUAAAAGUUUUGCGCAUCAAGGAGAUAGCACUAAUGAAAGUUUAAUGGCGGAAUCACCAGUUCGAGGAGGCGACAUGGGAACGAGAGGACAAGAGCCCAGUACCCAAAACUUUUGCAGGACUAAAACUUUCGAGAACAAAAGUUUCUUAGGGAGGGAAAAAUGUAAUAUCUCGAAUUUCAAGAUUUUUUAAAAAAAUUUAUCUUGAAUUGUUUGGGCAUUAAUUUAUUUAAUGGGGCUGGGUUUGAUUAUUUAGAAAGAGGUAAUUGGUUAAUUUCAAGUUAAUUGUGGAUUUAAAAUUUUGAAUUUAAUUGGAGUUGAUAAGAAACUUGAAAUCAAUUGGAUUCACUUGAUAAUUCGGAAAUUUGAAAUUUAGGUGGUAAGAUAAUUAACUUAGGAGAUAUUUGUGAAGAUUUGGAAGUUUGAAUUCAAUUUAAGAAAAAUGGGAUACAUUAUUGUGGGUUUGAAAUUUUAAAGUCGGGGGAUUUAUUUUUGAGAAGAUAAUGAAUUUAAACUAAGUUGAUAAGAGAAGCUUGAUUUUCUUUAAGGAGAAAAUUUAUUAUGAGGAAAGAGUUGGGAGUUUGAUUUCAAAUUGGGGGAGAUCAAAAAAAAAAAAAAAAAAAAAAAGAAGAGAUGAAUAUAUAUAAUAUUAAAAAAAGCACAAAUUGGCUUUGACUAGUCAAUUAGGGUUUAAUGGAAUUUAUUAUGUGGUAUGUGGGUUUUGGCUUGGCUCAAUUGCAUGCAGUCAAAGAAGGGAAUGAAAAAAAAAAACUCUUCUUCGUCCUUUCCUCUUUCCCCUUUCACGACACUCUCUCUCCCUCACCCUUCGAGUACACAUCUUAUGAUUAUGUUAGGGAUCACCACCUAUGCUUAUGAUUGUGACCCUUCGGGAUCACUACUUAUGAAAGUGUGCCUUUGGAUUCGCCACUUACGCUUAUGUCUAUGUUUAUGCCUAUGAUACGCGAUGCACACCUGUGCCUUGAAAGGGAGGCUAACGGUCACCCAGGGGACCCAGUAGAGGCUCCUUUUCCAACCCUCUAGACACUCUGGUUUCUUUCUCCCAAAAAUUCCAACCACAAGAAACGAUCUUUCUCAUGAAGAGGCAAAUAGAGGAACUGUCCGAUACUAACAAUAAAGGAUGUGAUCCAAGUUUUCCUCCACCUUACCGAGAAGACAACAAAACAAGUUCAUUAGUGACAAUAUCCUCCUCGAGAGUCGAUUCAAAGUAUUCACACGUCCAUGUAGAACUUUCCAUGUAAAGAAUCUCAUUUUCUUAGGAAUCUUAAUCCUAUAAAAGGGUGAAAUAACAGACUCACUAAAAGGAGAAGGAUACAACAGACAACAGAAAAGGGUAUUACAGGAAAAUCCCUCCAUAUGGUUGGAUUCUGGACAUGUAAGUCCUUUCUCCCAUGCUUAAAGUUAAACUCCCCCAACAACGACAACAAAGAGAUGACAUCAGUCACAUCCCUAUUGGUCAAAGAGCAACUAAACCUGAAGGAAAAAGGAAACUGAGCUCCCUGACCAAAUCAAAAAGUCAAACACUAAAUGAUUUUUAAAGGACAAAAUGAUAAAAGACAGGAAAAUGUAUAACUGCGAGGUCUAUCCUCCAACCACUAGUCUUUCCAGAAAUACAUUUCCUUGCCCUCUCCUACCACACACUAGACAAAAUGGGAGAAAGACGGGAGCUUGUUAGAAAUAUCCUUCCACAACUUUCAAUAAGUGCCAUUAACUCCACUCGACAACCACUUAAAGGGAUAAGGCCCAUAUUUUGGGUAUUUAAUUUUUUACAUUUAGCCCAGUUAAAUUUAGCCAAAUCUAAGCCCAACUAAAGUGUCCAAGCCCAAACCAAAUAGAAUUUUAGGGGGAAAAAAU
Benincasa hispida (wax gourd) is the source of this 5618-nucleotide RNA transcript. It is a transcript of the gene named non-intrinsic ABC protein 10, with no coding region annotated. The record is from RefSeq and is a predicted model, not a curated record. Lineage: Eukaryota; Viridiplantae; Streptophyta; Magnoliopsida; Cucurbitales; Cucurbitaceae.